CCGAAUGGGGAAACCCAGUGUGAUUCGUCACACUAUCAUUAACUGAAUCCAUAGGUUAAUGAGGCGAACCGGGGGAACUGAAACAUCUAAGUACCCCGAGGAAAAGAAAUCAACCGAGAUUCCCCCAGUAGCGGCGAGCGAACGGGGAGGAGCCCAGAGCCUGAAUCAGCAUGUGUGUUAGUGGAAGCGUCUGGAAAGGCGCGCGAUACAGGGUGACAGCCCCGUACACAAAAGCGCAUGUGCUGUGAGCUCGAUGAGUAGGGCGGGACACGUGGUAUCCUGUCUGAAUAUGGGGGGACCAUCCUCCAAGGCUAAAUACUCCUGACUGACCGAUAGUGAACCAGUACCGUGAGGGAAAGGCGAAAAGAACCCCGGCGAGGGGAGUGAAAA
Molecule: ribosomal RNA, 390 nt
Filed under: Salmonella enterica subsp. enterica serovar Wernigerode
Lineage: Bacteria; Pseudomonadati; Pseudomonadota; Gammaproteobacteria; Enterobacterales; Enterobacteriaceae
Description: partial 23S ribosomal RNA
Rfam family: Bacterial large subunit ribosomal RNA
Source: RNAcentral